CCGCGGGCCUGCCGCCUGCGCCGCCCAGCCCUGCUCAGGUGUCACUGUGGCUGGCAGGCCGGGAUUCGGGCAGGAACACGGGCCGGGGUCGCGCCUGGGUGGAGGGGGGGCGGGGGGGGGCUCUACCAGCCACCCCAGCCCCACCUGGCUCCCUCCCCGGGACCCCGCACACACCCCCUCGCCGCUUGGGUGACCGUGCCUUGGCGGCUGGGUUAAGCCACAGUUUGCCUGACACCCAUCUGAUGCUACCGCUACCCAUACUCGCAGGGCCUUGAAGCCCUAGGAGCAUCCACACUAUGAGUCCCGCCAGUUGGAAGGAAAAGAAGACAAUCCAAGGCAGAGGCCAGAGGUGACAGUGGUCCUGAUGCUCCUUCCUGAUCUACCUGCCACAGAAUGAGUGAGGGUCUCCCUCUGCUAGAAGGUAUCCUCCGCACAGCCCCUCCCUCCCACCAGCCUCAGUUCAGCACCAAGGCCUGGCAAGGAGGCUGGAGUUUCUUAGGGAAUGAUGAAGAGGACUAAGUGAAUUUCCCACCCUGCAUCCUUCCUGUCUUCUUUCCAAAUUCCACCACUGUCACCUUUUUCCUAUUUUUUUGAAAAGGACCAUGAGCCUAGUAAAAGGCCUAAUACAAUAUUUAGGGAGCUAGGAGAUAGAGCCAGAGUGUUUGGGGGACAGGGAUUACUUUAAAGUUCAAACUUGCAAGUACGUUUUAGGGAUUGACUGAUGGUGCUGGAGUGUGACUUGAACGGUUUGGCCUGCAAGGAGUCGGAACUAACUGGAGAAAGCAGUUAAGCCUCUGUGGAGGCCUGCUAGCUAGCUGGAAAGGAGACCACGCAGGGUGUGUCCCUCUGGCUCCAAGAUUCUGCUGCCCAGUUCAGAACCCAGGAUAGUGCUGGGUAAUUAGGCUGACAGUACAUUCAGUAAAUAUGUGUUGUUCUUUUAUAUGCCAGACACUGUGGUAGGUCAUUUAUGUGUGUGGAGGGAGGAGGGGACAGUUUUUGCCCUCAAUAAAGCCUCGAGUCCAAUAGAACUGUCAUAAAAAGACGAGCUCUGAGAGGCCACUGUAUCAUCUCAGGAAGGGGUUGUUGAGAACAGCCUCCUAAGCAUGGGCGGAGCUAGUUGCUAAGGUAAAUUUGGGAAGUUGGUCCCUAGCCAGAUGGGACAAAGCCAGGCAGGGAUGCCAAGACCUGUGGGUGAUGAAGAGGGUCUGCUUGAGAAAAGACUAAGAAACCACAUCCAGGGAUUCUCACCUCUGAAACCAGGAGUGCUCUCUCCCACAUGUUGCAGUUUCCACCAUUUUUUAGACUCACUUUUCAGGUUUAAGAAAAAUACCUUUACACCAAGAUGAGAAGGCUUAAAAUGUCAGCACCAUAGAAAAGUUAUAUGAUACAGAUAGGAAAUAAGGACACACCUUUGAGGCACACCCUUCAGUCCUCUACAAAUCUAAGACUCCUCCUAGCUGAGGUAUGUGUGGGGAAAAAGAGGUUAUGAAUCAUAAUCACUUUACAACACAUUUAUCAUCAGGUACCUUUAAUGCAUGCUUAUACUCCCAUACUGCUGUAACACAGACACAUCUUAAACAAAACUGGACCCUACUCAGGAAAACUAGACAACAGCAUGUUAAUUGAGAACUAGUUACAUCCUCAUAGUGGGCCUGCUGAAAUAGCCAAAUCAUCCUUUUAAUGUAGAUUUUUUUUUUAGAUUAUAUUGCAUUUUUUUUAAAAAGCUUAUUAGACUGGCCAAGCUGACUAUGAUUAUAUUAUAUUUGUAUAUGAUUACCUUAUAUUUGGAAUCUACAUUUUUCAAGCUAUUACUGGAUGCUGACUUUAACAAUAUCCUCUGCUUAUAAAGAAACAAAUGAAGGGGGGGGGGGGAACUUGGCAAAAAAACAACUUGCUGUCUACUAAAAAAUUGUAUUUCCCAUUCUUUUGUAUAUUUUUCUCUGGGAAACAUGUGCCCAGGUAGGAAUUCUAUUUCCUGACCUGCACCUGCUUGCGUCUAAGUGGAUCCAUGUGUCUCAUUCUGGUCAAUGAACUGUGGGCUAAAGUGUGUCAUCACUUUCAAGCCAAAACAGCUAAGCAAGAGAUAUUCAUUGCCUAUGCAUUCCCAUCCUUUAGCUCAAGCAUGUCAAACUCAAAGACUAACACAGACCAAACAAAUGAGGCAUGCGGCCCACAGGCUGAGAGUUUGACAUGCUUGCUGAAUGAAGAAGUUUCUAGGGCCCAGGAGAAGGCAUAACACCACAUGGAAAGAGCUAACUUCUUCAAUUACCACAUAGAGGGAUGCAGCCCACCCACUAUGAAAAUCUGCAUCAGGCUUUACAUGAAGAAGAAAUAAGCAUUUAUUGUGUUGUUCCAUUGAAAUUUGGGGAUAUGCUUGCUAGGGUAGCUAGUACUAUCAAAUCAAUACACAAAGUUACUUUAAGAUGCUAGUCCAAAAGUAAAAUUCAUAUUUUUUUCUGUUAUAUAACAGAAUUACCAGACUAAAAAUAUUCUUCUUUUAAUACGUGAGCAUCAAACUUUGUCUUCUUGUAAAUGAAUUAUUCAUUUACCAGUUGUGUUUUGAACACCUGUUCUGUACAAGGUACUGUGCUAGAUGAUGCAUAAAUGUAUAGAUUAGGAACUCAAAGAUUUAGUCCUUCAUUCAAGGAUCUCAAAGUCUUGUUAUACAAGAAUUGUAUCAUAUUAUCUUUGCAAAAAAAUAGGUAUAAGGAGUAACUUCCUCUAUUGGAGAAAACAAACUAAUUUUACUAUUUACUUCACAACUAAUUAUGAAGAUAAACGUGUGGAAUAAAAUAAAAUAUUGAUGAUUCGGUGUCAUCUAUGUAGUCAAAUGCUCCAAAUCACAGCUUACAUCCUUGGGGGCAAAUAUUGUUCAUAUUAAAUGAACAAUAUUUUAGUUUGCUGUUAAGUGCUCAGUUGAUUGGGUGUUGUCCUGUGCACCGAAGAGAUGCUGGCUUGGGAGGGUGCAUUCCUGGGUUGUAGGCACAGUCCCCUGUGAAGUGCAUGUAGGAGGCAGUGAUGGAUGUUGCACUCUCACAUCAAUGUUUCUCUUCCCCUCUCUCAAAUCAAUAAAACAUCUUUUUUUAAAAAUAGAGGUAUAUUUUUUUUCAAGAAAAGAAUUGAAGUUAUUGUAUUUUAUAUCUUGUUUUGAGAAUAACCUGCUCUUGAAAUGUUGAACUUUCCUUUGGUACUUGGAUAUCUUUACACUCAUUUUGACAUUAAGAAUUUUGACUCUUCUCCUGGUUUUGACUCUCCUGAGGGAUGUAUUUUGUUCUGAGUAGUUGAUGGUAGACAGUAUGUCUGACCUGUUCUCACCUGAGCUGGUGGAGCCUUGUGCUGGAGAACCUGCAGACUAGACAGCCAAUCCUAGUGGAGCCAUGACUGUGUCUAAGACUUUGAUUUAUUAUCUUAGAGUUCAUUCCCCUGACGUUCACUUCUAACAUGUCAAGUUCUACCCUCUUCACUGUGGAGGCUCUAUGAAAUAUAUUAGUCAUCACAAAUUUUAUUAUUUGAGGUUUAAACUAAAAAGGUCUUUAUUUAUCUUUUGGAUUGCUCUUGAAAUAUUGUUGAGCCUUUUUUUUUUUUCUUUCAGAAGGCAAUUUAACUCAUUUAGAAAAGUUAUUUCUCAAAGAACAUAAAAACAUGUUAUACCCAAUGAAUUCAGGAAUAAAUUUUACUUUUUCCAUCAGGGACCAAACUAUAACUUAUGGAAUUAUAUGCUAAGUUUAAUAUGAAGGGGAUAUAUUUUACAUAAAACUUGGGUGAUCAUUAUUUAUUUGGAUUUAAUAAACAUAUUCAUCAUUGUUUUUAUAUUUGUAUCUGUAUCUCAUAUUUCAGUUCUGAAUUUGAAAAUAAAUAUUCUAUUGAAAAAGAA
Eptesicus fuscus (big brown bat) is the source of this 3874-nucleotide long non-coding RNA. RefSeq lists it as uncharacterized. NCBI's taxonomy places the organism in Eukaryota, Metazoa, Chordata, Mammalia, Chiroptera, Vespertilionidae. The record is from RefSeq and is a predicted model, not a curated record. The transcript is spliced from 2 exons.